RNAcentral lists this ribosomal RNA (1467 nucleotides) under uncultured prokaryote. RNAcentral's name for it is "partial 16S ribosomal RNA". It matches the Rfam family "Bacterial small subunit ribosomal RNA". The record is from RNAcentral.
AGAGUUUGAUCAUGGCUCAGAACGAACGCUGGUGGUAUGCUUAACACAUGCAAGUCGAACGAGCGUGGCCUAGCUUGCUAGGAUUCUGCUAGUGGCGCACGGGUGAGUAACACGUGGGAAUCUGCCUCAUAGUAUGGAAUAACAUUCAGAAAUGAAUGCUAAUACCAUAUAAUACCUCCGGGUCAAAGAUUUAUCGCUAUUAGAUGGGCCCGCGUUAGAUUAGUUAGUUGGUGAGGUAAUGGCUCACCAAGGCUACGAUCUAUAUCUGGUUUGAGAGGAUGAUCAGACACACUGGGACUGAGACACGGCCCAGACUCCUACGGGAGGCAGCGGUGGGGAAUAUUGGACAAUGGGGGAAACCCUGAUCCAGCAAUACCACGUGAGUGAUGAAGGCCUUAGGGUUGUAAAGCUCUUUCAGAUAUGAAGAUAAUGACUGUAAUAUCAGAAGAAGCACCGGCUAACUCCGUGCCAGCAGCCGCGGUAAUACGGGGGGAGCUAGCAUUGUUCGGAAUUACUGGGCGUAAAGCGCGCGUAGGCGGCUUGGCAAGUUGGAAGUGAAAUCCUGGGGCUCAACCCCAGAACUGCUUUCAAAACUGAUAGACUAGAGUUAAGUAGAGGAUAGUGGAAUUCCCAGUGUAGAGGUGAAAUUCGUAGAUAUUGGGAGGAACACCAGAAGCGAAGGCGACUAUCUGGGCUUAUACUGACGCUAAGGUACGAAAGUGUGGGGAGCAAACAGGAUUAGAUACCCUGGUAGUCCACACUGUAAACGAUGAGUGCUAGUGGUCGGGUCUAUACGAUUCGGUUGCAAAGCUAACGCGUUAAGUACUCCGCCUGGGGAUUACGGUCGCAAGACUAAAACUCAAAGGAAUUGACGGGGGCCCGCACAAGCGGUGGAGCAUGUGGUUUAAUUCGAUGCUACGCGAAAAACCUUACCAAUCUUUGACAUAGUAGAUCGCGAUUUCCAGAGAUGGACUCCUUCAGUUCGGCUGGAUCGGAGACAGGUGUUGCAUGGCUGUUGUCAGCUCGUGCCGUGAGGUGUUAGGUUAAGUCCUUUAACGAGCGCAACCCUCAUUCUUAUUUGCCAGCGGGUAAUGCCGGGAACUAUAAGAAAACUGCCAGUGAUAAAUUGGAGGAAGGUGGGGACGACUUCAAGUCAUCAUGGCCCUUAGGCUGGGCUACACACAUGUUACAAUGGGAGUUACAAAGGGCAAGCAAAGGAGCGAUCCUAAGCCAAUCCUUAAAAGCUCUCUCAGUUCAGAUUGCAGGCUGCAACUCGCCUGCAUGAAGUUGGAAUCGCUAGUAAUCGUGGAUCAGCACGCCACGGUGAAUACGUUCUCGGGUCUUGUACACACUGCCCGUCAAGCCAUGGAAGUUCUUUUUGCCUGAAGCCAGUGGGCUAACCUUUUAGGAGGCAGCUGUCCACGGUAAGGCCAGCGACUGGGGUUAAGUCAUAACAAGGUAGCCGUA